GGAGAAGAAGUGCCUAGCCCAGCAGGAC
Molecule: non-coding RNA, 28 nt
Filed under: Mus musculus (house mouse)
Lineage: Eukaryota; Metazoa; Chordata; Mammalia; Rodentia; Muridae
Source: RNAcentral